Non-coding RNA from Cricetulus griseus (Chinese hamster), 641 nucleotides. The record is from RefSeq and is a predicted model, not a curated record. Lineage: Eukaryota; Metazoa; Chordata; Mammalia; Rodentia; Cricetidae.
UUGGAGCCUAUCCUGGCUCUCCCUCUGGAGACCAGGCUGGCUUUGAACUCACAGAGAUCCGCCUGCCUUGCCUCCCGAGUGCUGGGACUAAAGGCGUGCGCCACCACUGCCCGGCUCUUACCGACUCUUACUAUUAUUAUUGACUCUCUUAUUGAGUGCUAGGCCUACGGUAUGGUUACGCGCCCUGCAGGGAGUGGUGCGCCUUACAGCCCAGGCGGCGGAGAGUCCAAGCAAAGCCGUGCUAUUUAUUCUAAAGGGACAGGCUGGUACCGACGGUGGGUUCCUGCCGCCAAAACUGCGUAGACGCGGGUAGGCCAGAAAGAAAGGAGUUUGAGGAAAUGCCGAAGACAUGCAGUAGGGGAGGCGUCUCCGAGGUGACAUUUCUGAAAAGGAUGCGCGGGGCGGAGGGAACAACAGGUGCAAAGGAAGGCGUCCAGGUUCGCUGGGAGAAGAGAAAAGGAACGCCAGUCUGGGUGAAGAUUCUAGACUAGAGAAGGUGAAUUAAGAGAAGGAGGCCUUCACUAGGAUGGCAGAUAUGGUGGAUGGAUGGAGCCUUGCCCAAGAUCCUGAAGGUGACAGCCCUGUACUGCCUUCUUCAUAUUUCAUGAAUGGCUAAAAAUAAACUUCUGUUUUAAACCAGU